UAGCUCAUGUGCUGGUUAGAGCGCCGUCCUGAUAAGACGGAGGUGCCGGGUUCGACCCCCGGGGAGUCAAC
This 71-nucleotide transfer RNA is filed under the name Tsukamurella tyrosinosolvens. RNAcentral describes it as "tRNA-Ile(gat)". It matches the Rfam family "tRNA". Rfam says of the family: Transfer RNA (tRNA) molecules are approximately 80 nucleotides in length. Their secondary structure includes four short double-helical elements and three loops (D, anti-codon, and T loops). Lineage: Bacteria; Bacillati; Actinomycetota; Actinomycetes; Mycobacteriales; Tsukamurellaceae. The record is from RNAcentral.